UAGCCGAAGAUGGCCGAAGGUGUCCGAUGUGAUCACACCUGCCAAUUCUCCAGGCUCCAAGAUCGACAGAUAAUCAAUCGGCGAUCAAUACGGGACUUUCUACUUGUAAUUAAUGGUUGUUUGAGGAGGAAGGCCAGUCAAUUUGCAAGUAACGGUACAAAUAAAUUGAACAAGAUUAUAAAAGCGAAAACCGCGAUUUAUGCAAACCCAGUGGCAUCGUAUGGCAGUUUAACACAAAAGUAAAUAAAGCAACCACUCGGUGCUGGACAGUGAAUACCUUCCUUCAUUCAUGGAGCGCCGCGCCUUGUUUCGUCCGGCGGACCGUCCGCCGGUUAGACGGCUAUUUUCUAAAUAUCCCCUCUCUCGAAUCCGCCGACGACCGACACGGAUGUGGUCGACGCCGGCAGUCGACGUGCGUUUGCUGCAUUGCCGACGAUGCAGUGCGCUGAUAAUAGCUUUGAAUGUUGCCGCCGCCGCCGCGCUAUUCUCUACCGCAGACACGCUCUGCCGACUGUUCACAGUGAUAUCGCUUUCAAGAGAUGUUAUUGUAUAGGUUUUGAAAUGACACAUCUGUACGUCUAAAGGCACGAGUAAUAUGGCAAAAGAUAGAGAAUUGUGGAGGGAACAAACAUUUUGCGCCGACCCCAGAUGAUGGGACAAGGUAAGGCAAAUUAUGAGAAGGCACGAGUAAACCUUUAGAACAUUAUACUUAUAUGUUCUUAUAUCUGUGGUGUAAACCGUCUCGCAGUAAUUGAAAAUGUUGCGGUCGAGUUGAAAGUUGCAAUACACUCGACAACUCAGGAAGGACAACCUUGGAAACUGCUGAAAACAAUGUUUGAGGAUAGAUCAACAAAUGAACGUACAUUAAAGAAGAAAUAAUUCAACAGGCUGACUGUUGACUUAUUACUUCUUUAAUCUACUUUAACGACGUGAAAAAUCUCGUAAUGAAAUUGUUUUUAUUGUGAUGUCACUCAUAUGUCAAUUUGAAUGCUCCAUCAAUCUCCCGACGGCCGGGAAUCAAUCUCCAUUGGCUUGAUGGACGUCAGUCUGCGUGUUCACCAGGAAGGACUAACGAGUUGCCAGGGCGAGGCUGCGAAUCUAUGUCCGAGGUGGACUCUGAAUUGUAUGGAGUUUUCAAAAUUUUGAAGUAAUCUAAUAAAAAAUAUA
This is a long non-coding RNA of Plodia interpunctella (Indianmeal moth), 1167 nucleotides long. RefSeq lists it as uncharacterized. NCBI's taxonomy places the organism in Eukaryota, Metazoa, Arthropoda, Insecta, Lepidoptera, Pyralidae. The record is from RefSeq and is a predicted model, not a curated record. The transcript has 4 exons.